This 471-nucleotide ribosomal RNA is filed under the name uncultured bacterium. RNAcentral's name for it is "bacterial SSU rRNA". It matches the Rfam family "Bacterial small subunit ribosomal RNA", at positions 28 to 491 of the family's 1533-position model. The record is from RNAcentral.
GAUGAACGCUAGCGGCAGGCUUAAUACAUGCAAGUCGUGGGGCAGCAGGUUUGUAGCAAUACAGAUGCUGGCGACCGGCAAACGGGUGCGGAACACGUACAGAACCUUCCUUUGAGCGGGGAAUAGCCCAGAGAAAUUUGGAUUAAUACCCCAUAGUAUAAUGAAGUGGCAUCACUUUAUUAUUAAAGAUUUAUCACUCGAAGAUGGCUGUGCGGCUGAUUAGGUAGUUGGCGGGGUAAAGGCCCACCAAGCCUGCGAUCAGUAACUGGUGUGAGAGCACGACCAGUCACACGGGCACUGAGACACGGGCCCGACUCCUACGGGAGGCAGCAGUAAGGAUAUUGGUCAAUGGAGGCAACUCUGAACCAGCCAUGCCGCGUGGAGGAUGAAGGUCCUCUGGAUUGUAAACUUCUUUUAUAUGGGACGAAAAAAGGCUUUUCUAAGUCGUCUGACGGUACCAUAUGAAUAAGC